UAAAGUCUGGCCUGCCCACUGAUUUAUUUUAAAGGGCCGCGGUAUACUGACCGUGCGAAGGUAGCAUAAUCAUUAGUCUUUUAAUUGGAGGCUCGUAUGAAUGGUUGGACAAAAAGCAAACUGUCUCAAUUAUAUUUAUUGAAUUUAACUUUUAAGUGAAAAGGCUUAAAUAAAUUAAGG
RNAcentral lists this ribosomal RNA (180 nucleotides) under Penaeus vannamei (Pacific white shrimp). RNAcentral's name for it is "partial 16S ribosomal RNA". It matches the Rfam family "Archaeal large subunit ribosomal RNA", at positions 1940 to 2143 of the family's 2987-position model. The record is from RNAcentral. Lineage: Eukaryota; Metazoa; Arthropoda; Malacostraca; Decapoda; Penaeidae.